GCCGAAGUGGUGGAAUUGGUAGACACACCAUCUUGAGGGGGUGGCGGGGAAACCCGUGGGGGUUCGAGUCCCCCCUUCGGCA
RNAcentral lists this transfer RNA (82 nucleotides) under bacterium. Its description in RNAcentral is "tRNA-Leu". It matches the Rfam family "tRNA". Rfam says of the family: Transfer RNA (tRNA) molecules are approximately 80 nucleotides in length. The record is from RNAcentral.